Molecule: ribosomal RNA, 125 nt
Filed under: Valsaceae sp.
Lineage: Eukaryota; Fungi; Ascomycota; Sordariomycetes; Diaporthales; Cytosporaceae
Description: partial small subunit ribosomal RNA
Rfam family: Eukaryotic small subunit ribosomal RNA
Source: RNAcentral
CCUUUGUACACACCGCCCGUCGCUACUACCGAUUGAAUGGUUCAGUGAGGCGUUCGGACUGGCCCCAGGAGGUCGGCAACGACCACCCAGGGCCGGAAAGUUCUCCAAACUCGAUCAUUUAGAGG